ACAAACUAUGAACCACAAUAUGCAGCAAGGAAAUGACAUAAUUUAUUGAUUAUGGUAACAUCUCAUUACAUUUUUUUUUAAUCAAACUUAUUAUAUGACUAAAUUUUCAUGUUGCACAGCUUGGAGCAGCCUUUCACACACUUCUUCACAGCCUCCGGAUCUGCAACAGCAAAGAAACAUAUAUGAAGAAAAAAAAAAAAAGUAGAGUCCAUAAAUUAAAGUAUAUAAAAGAUGCUUGCAAAUUUAAGGAUCAUAAUUAUUUGUUUAUACCCGAGCCAAUUUCAGCACACUUAAACUUUGAACAAGUGUAAGUGCAAUUGCAGAGAUUAUCAGGGAUUGAUUUUAAGUUCUUGCAUUUGCCAAUGCACAAUGUGGCACACCAAAGUGGCCGAGGGACGUUGCAUUUUGGGUAGCAAUUCGCCAAGCAAGUGUCGAGCUUAAUAUGAUGCUGACCGUGCCCUUCAGCUGCGGCAGGCAGCAGCAGCAGAAACAACACCACCAUUGAUGUUAUCAGAAGCCGAAGACCAGUGAUUCCUUUUCCUUCCAUUGCUGCUGUCUAAUUAGAUAAUUU
RNAcentral lists this long non-coding RNA (571 nucleotides) under Citrus x clementina. RNAcentral describes it as "Citrus clementina (C. clementina) long non-coding RNA (CCLE_LNC001384)". The record is from RNAcentral. Lineage: Eukaryota; Viridiplantae; Streptophyta; Magnoliopsida; Sapindales; Rutaceae.